GGUUAAGCGACUAAGCGUACACGGUGGAUGCCCUGGCAGUCAGAGGCGAUGAAGGGCGUGCUAAUCUGCGAUAAGCGCCGGUAAGGUGAUAUGAACCGUUAUAACCGGCGAUACCCGAAUGGGGAAACCCAGUGUGAUUCGUCACACUAUCAUUAACUGAAUCCAUAGGUUAAUGAGGCGAACCGGGGGAACUGAAACAUCUAAGUACCCCGAGGAAAAGAAAUCAACCGAGAUUCCCCCAGUAGCGGCGAGCGAACGGGGAGGAGCCCAGAGCCUGAAUCAGCAUGUGUGUUAGUGGAAGCGUCUGGAAAGGCGCGCGAUACAGGGUGACAGCCCCGUACACAAAAGCGCAUGUGCUGUGAGCUCGAUGAGUAGGGCGGGACACGUGGUAUCCUGUCUGAAUAUGGGGGGACCAUCCUCCAAGGCUAAAUACUCCUGACUGACCGAUAGUGAACCAGUACCGUGAGGGAAAGGCGAAAAGAACCCCGGCGAGGGGAGUGAAAAAGAACCUGAAACCGUGUACGUACAAGCAGUGGGAGCACCCUUUGGGGUGUGACUGCGUACCUUUUGUAUAAUGGGUCAGCGACUUAUAUUCUGUAGCAAGGUUAACCGUAUAGGGGAGCCGGAGGGAAACCGAGUCUUAAUUGGGCGUUAAGUUGCAGGGUAUAGACCCGAAACCCGGUGAUCUAGCCAUGGGCAGGUUGAAGGUUGGGUAACACUAACUGGAGGACCGAACCGACUAAUGUUGAAAAAUUAGCGGAUGACCUGUGGCUGGGGGUGAAAGGCCAAUCAAACCGGGAGAUAGCUGGUUCUCCCCGAAAGCUAUUUAGGUAGCGCCUCGUGAAUUCAUCUCCGGGGGUAGAGCACUGUUUCGGCUAGGGGGCCAUCCCGGCUUACCAACCCGAUGCAAACUGCGAAUACCGGAGAAUGUUAUCACGGGAGACACACGGCGGGUGCUAACGUCCGUCGUGAAGAGGGAAACAACCCAGACCGCCAGCUAAGGUCCCAAAGUCAUGGUUAAGUGGGAAACGAUGUGGGAAGGCCCAGACAGCCAGGAUGUUGGCUUAGAAGCAGCCAUCAUUUAAAGAAAGCGUAAUAGCUCACUGGUCGAGUCGGCCUGCGCGGAAGAUGUAACGGGGCUAAACCAUGCACCGAAGCUGCGGCAGCGACGCUGAUGCGUUGUUGGGUAGGGGAGCGUUCUGUAAGCCUGUGAAGGUGUGUCGUGAGGCAUGCUGGAGGUAUCAGAAGUGCGAAUGCUGACAUAAGUAACGAUAAAGCGGGUGAAAAGCCCGCUCGCCGGAAGACCAAGGGUUCCUGUCCACGUUAAUCGGGGCAGGGUGAGUCGACCCCUAAGGCGAGGCCGAAAGGCGUAGUCGAUGGGAAACGGGUUAAUAUUCCCGUACUUGGUGUUACUGCGAAGGGGGGACGGAGAAGGCUAUGUUGGCCGGGCGACGGUUGUCCCGGUUUAAGCGUGUAGGCUGGUUUUCCAGGCAAAUCCGGAAAAUCAAGGCUGAGGCGUGACGACGAGGCACUACGGUGCUGAAGCAACAAAUGCCCUGCUUCCAGGAAAAGCCUCUAAGCAUCAGGUAACAUCAAAUCGUACCCCAAACCGACACAGGUGGUCAGGUAGAGAAUACCAAGGCGCUUGAGAGAACUCGGGUGAAGGAACUAGGCAAAAUGGUGCCGUAACUUCGGGAGAAGGCACGCUGACACGUAGGUGAAGUGAUUUACUCAUGGAGCUGAAGUCAGUCGAAGAUACCAGCUGGCUGCAACUGUUUAUUAAAAACACAGCACUGUGCAAACACGAAAGUGGACGUAUACGGUGUGACGCCUGCCCGGUGCCGGAAGGUUAAUUGAUGGGGUCAGCGCAAGCGAAGCUCCUGAUCGAAGCCCCGGUAAACGGCGGCCGUAACUAUAACGGUCCUAAGGUAGCGAAAUUCCUUGUCGGGUAAGUUCCGACCUGCACGAAUGGCGUAAUGAUGGCCAGGCUGUCUCCACCCGAGACUCAGUGAAAUUGAACUCGCUGUGAAGAUGCAGUGUACCCGCGGCAAGACGGAAAGACCCCGUGAACCUUUACUAUAGCUUGACACUGAACAUUGAGCCUUGAUGUGUAGGAUAGGUGGGAGGCUUUGAAGUGUGGACGCCAGUCUGCAUGGAGCCGACCUUGAAAUACCACCCUUUAAUGUUUGAUGUUCUAACGUGGACCCGUUACCCGGGUUGCGGACAGUGUCUGGUGGGUAGUUUGACUGGGGCGGUCUCCUCCUAAAGAGUAACGGAGGAGCACGAAGGUUGGCUAAUCCUGGUCGGACAUCAGGAGGUUAGUGCAAUGGCAUAAGCCAGCUUGACUGCGAGCGUGACGGCGCGAGCAGGUGCGAAAGCAGGUCAUAGUGAUCCGGUGGUUCUGAAUGGAAGGGCCAUCGCUCAACGGAUAAAAGGUACUCCGGGGAUAACAGGCUGAUACCGCCCAAGAGUUCAUAUCGACGGCGGUGUUUGGCACCUCGAUGUCGGCUCAUCACAUCCUGGGGCUGAAGUAGGUCCCAAGGGUAUGGCUGUUCGCCAUUUAAAGUGGUACGCGAGCUGGGUUUAGAACGUCGUGAGACAGUUCGGUCCCUAUCUGCCGUGGGCGCUGGAGAACUGAGGGGGGCUGCUCCUAGUACGAGAGGACCGGAGUGGACGCAUCACUGGUGUUCGGGUUGUCAUGCCAAUGGCACUGCCCGGUAGCUAAAUGCGGAAGAGAUAAGUGCUGAAAGCAUCUAAGCACGAAACUUGCCCCGAGAUGAGUUCUCCCUGAGACUUUAGGUCUCCUGAAGGAACGUUGAAGACGACGACGUUGAUAGGCCGGGUGUGUAAGCGCAGCGAUGCGUUGAGCUAACCGGUACUAAUGAACCGUGAGGCUUAACCUU
Molecule: ribosomal RNA, 2903 nt
Filed under: Salmonella enterica subsp. enterica serovar Hadar str. RI_05P066
Lineage: Bacteria; Pseudomonadati; Pseudomonadota; Gammaproteobacteria; Enterobacterales; Enterobacteriaceae
Description: bacterial LSU rRNA
Rfam family: Bacterial large subunit ribosomal RNA
Source: RNAcentral